AUACGGAGGGUGCAAGCGUUAAUCGGAAUUACUGGGCGUAAAGCGCGCGUAGGCGGUUCGGUAAGUUGGAUGUGAAAGCCCAGGGCUCAACCUUGGAACUGCAUUCAAAACUGCCAGGCUAGAGUACGGUAGAGGGGGGUAGAAUUCCACGUGUAGCGGUGAAAUGCGUAGAGAUGUGGAGGAAUACCAGUGGCGAAGGCGGCCCCCUGGAUCGAUACUGACGCUGAGGUGCGAAAGCGUGGGGAGCAAACAGGAUUAGAAACCCUAGUAGUCC
This 274-nucleotide ribosomal RNA is filed under the name uncultured bacterium. Its description in RNAcentral is "partial 16S ribosomal RNA". It matches the Rfam family "Bacterial small subunit ribosomal RNA", at positions 523 to 796 of the family's 1533-position model. The record is from RNAcentral.